This 479-nucleotide ribosomal RNA is filed under the name uncultured bacterium. RNAcentral describes it as "partial 16S ribosomal RNA". It matches the Rfam family "Bacterial small subunit ribosomal RNA", at positions 28 to 507 of the family's 1533-position model. The record is from RNAcentral.
GAUGAACGCUGGCGGCGUGUUUAACACAUGCAAGUCGAACGAAGCACUUAAGAUUGCUUCUUCGGAUGACGUCUUUUGUGACUUAGUGGCGGACGGGUGAGUAACGCGUGGGUAACCUGCCUCACACAGGGGGAUAACAGUUAGAAAUGACUGCUAAUACCGCAUAACCCGAUAGGAUCGCAUGAUCCAGACGGAAAAGAUUUAUCGGUGUGAGAUGGACCCGCGUCUGAUUAGCUAGUUGGUGAGGUAACGGCCCACCAAGGCGACGAUCAGUAGCCGGCCUGAGAGGGUGAACGGCCACAUUGGGACUGAGACACGGCCCAAACUCCUACGGGAGGCGGCAGUGGGGAAUAUUGCACAAUGGGGGAAACCCUGAUGCAGCGACGCCGCGUGAGUGAAGAAGUAUUUCGGUAUGUAAAGCUCUAUCAGCAGGGAAGAAAAUGACGGUACCUGACGAAGAAGCCCCGGCUAACUACGUG